CAGUAGCCGCGGUAAUACGAAGGGGGCUAGCGUUGUUCGGAUUUACUGGGCGUAAAGCGCACGUAGGCGGACUUUUAAGUCAGGGGUGAAAUCCCGGGGCUCAACCCCGGAACUGCCUUUGAUACUGGAAGUCUUGAGUAUGGUAGAGGUGAGUGGAAUUCCGAGUGUAGAGGUGAAAUGCGUAGAUAUUCGGAGGAACACCAGUGGCGAAGGCGGCUCACUGGACCAUUACUGACGCUGAGGUGCGAAAGCGUGGGGAGCAAACAGGAUUAGAUACCCGAGUAGUCCCUGUCUCUUAUAC
RNAcentral lists this ribosomal RNA (301 nucleotides) under uncultured bacterium. Its description in RNAcentral is "partial 16S ribosomal RNA". It matches the Rfam family "Bacterial small subunit ribosomal RNA", at positions 509 to 807 of the family's 1533-position model. The record is from RNAcentral.